Molecule: small RNA, 127 nt
Filed under: Marmota monax (woodchuck)
Lineage: Eukaryota; Metazoa; Chordata; Mammalia; Rodentia; Sciuridae
Source: RNAcentral
GCCGGGUAUGGUGGCACAUACCUCUAAUCCAAGUGGCUCAGGAGGCUGAGGCAGGAGGAUCACAAGUUCAAAGCCAGCUUCAGCAACUUAGCAAGGCCCUAAGCAACUUAGCGAGACCCUGUCUCAA